This is a non-coding RNA of Nicotiana tabacum (common tobacco), 992 nucleotides long. The record is from RefSeq and is a predicted model, not a curated record. NCBI's taxonomy places the organism in Eukaryota, Viridiplantae, Streptophyta, Magnoliopsida, Solanales, Solanaceae.
UCAUUCCCUUAUUAAACAAAAUGCGUCAGCACCAACACGCACAUACAUGUAUGUCAAAUGACAUCCACCACCUCUAGGUAAAAUUAAACUAAACACUGAUGGAACCGCCAAAAGUAAUCCAUCUAAAAAUGGUAUAAGAGGAGUAUUCCGCAAUACAAUGGGACAAUGUUUACUAGGCUUCAUGGGUACAAGAGAUACAGAUAACUCCACAUAUAUGGAAUUAAAUGCAUUAUUAUAGGGUUUGCAAUUAGCAUGUCUUCAUCAACUCAUACCACUAGAAGUGAACGUGGAAAACAAAAACUGAAAAUUCUAAGCUAGCUCUAAUCUGAAGCUCAGAAUGCUACUUCUUGGUUCUUCAUUUCAUAAAUUCAAUCGAGAAGUCACGUCAACAAAAUCAUUCUCAUUGCAAAGUAUUGUUAGACCACUCGUUGGAUGAUGAAAUCCAAACUCUUCUUCUGCUUUGCAUAACAAGUUCUGGAACGAAGGAUGGUUCAGGUAUGUUAUUGGCACCACAUAUCGCUUCUUCUCAAUCUCUCCGACAUAAACUGCAAAAUGUCCUUUAGGAACAUCUGAAUGAUUCCUUUUAAGAACAGACUGCAAUUUGUAGAUUUGAUUGGCACCGGAAAUCAUAGGCACUUAAUCCUGCAGCUGAGUAUCCUCCGAUUAUCCACACAUAUAGGGAGCAAAACUACGUUGCACAUACUCUUGCUCAAAAUGGUUCCACUGUCUAUGUGGGAGACUACACAACAAUCUUCACCCAACCACCAAGUUUUUUGCUACCACAUCUUUUGGCUGAUCAACAAGGUACUCCCUACCCAAGAUCUGUAAAGACGACAUGUCCAAUCAAAUUGUCCUAUAGUCCGACCUUUUUGGAAAGUGAUCACUCCAACGAUCAUCAUUUUGAUUACAAUUUUUGUAAUGUAUUGCAACAAGCUCCUUGUAAUGUCACAAUUUAAAUUAAUAUAAGUUGGUUUGUUGACCAAAAAAAAAAG